This 497-nucleotide ribosomal RNA is filed under the name uncultured bacterium. RNAcentral's name for it is "partial 16S ribosomal RNA". It matches the Rfam family "Bacterial small subunit ribosomal RNA", at positions 28 to 507 of the family's 1533-position model. The record is from RNAcentral.
GACGAACGCUGGCGGCGUGCCUAAUACAUGCAAGUUGAGCGCUGAAGGUUGGUACUUGUACCAACUGGAUGAGCAGCGAACGGGUGAGUAACGCGUGGGGAAUCUGCCUUUGAGCGGGGGACAACAUUUGGAAACGAAUGCUAAUACCGCAUAAAAACUUUAAACACAAGUUUUAAGUUUGAAAGAUGCAAUUGCAUCACUCAAAGAUGAUCCCGCGUUGUAUUAGCUAGUUGGUGAGGUAAAGGCUCACCAAGGCGAUGAUACAUAGCCGACCUGAGAGGGUGAUCGGCCACAUUGGGACUGAGACACGGCCCAAACUCCUACGGGAGGCAGCAGUAGGGAAUCUUCAGCAAUGGACGAAAGUCUGACCGAGCAACGCCGCGUGAGUGCAGAAGGUUUUCGGAUCGUAAAACUCUGUUGGUAGAGAAGAACGAUGGUGAGAGUGGAAAGCUCAUCAAGUGACGGUAACUACCCAGAAAGGGACGGCUAACUACGUG